UAUCGACGUAGUUUGAUCCUGGCUCAGAACGACGCUGGCGGCAGGCCUAACACAUGCAAGUCGAGCGAACCCUUCGGGGUUAGCGGCGGACGGGUUAGUAACGCGUGGGAAUAUACCCUUUGGUACGGAAUAGCCUCGGGAAACUGAGAGUAAUACCGUAUGUGCCCUUCGGGGGAAAGAUUUAUCGCCAAAGGAUUAGCCCGCGUUGGAUUAGGUAGUUGGUGGGGUAAUGGCCUACCAAGCCUACGAUCCAUAGCUGGUUUGAGAGGAUGAUCAGCAACACUGGGACUGAGACACGGCCCAGACUCCUACGGGAGGCAGCAGUGGGGAAUCUUAGACAAUGGGCGCAAGCCUGAUCUAGCCAUGCCGCGUGGACGAUGAAGGCCUUAGGGUUGUAAAGUCCUUUCAGAUGGGAAGAUAAUGACGGUACCAUCAGAAGAAGCCCCGGCUAACUCCGUG
RNAcentral lists this ribosomal RNA (459 nucleotides) under uncultured bacterium. Its description in RNAcentral is "bacterial SSU rRNA". It matches the Rfam family "Bacterial small subunit ribosomal RNA", at positions 1 to 507 of the family's 1533-position model. The record is from RNAcentral.